RNAcentral lists this ribosomal RNA (368 nucleotides) under uncultured organism. RNAcentral describes it as "bacterial SSU rRNA". It matches the Rfam family "Bacterial small subunit ribosomal RNA", at positions 526 to 896 of the family's 1533-position model. The record is from RNAcentral.
CGUAGGUGGCAAGCGUUGUCCGGAUUUAUUGGGUUUAAAGGGUGCGUAGGCGGCCCUGUAAGUCAGUGCUGAAAUCCCCCAGCUUAACUGGGGUGGUGGCAUUGAUACUGCAGGGCUUGAGUACAGAUGAGGUAGGCGGAAUUGACGGUGUAGCGGUGAAAUGCAUAGAUAUCGUCAAGAACACCGAUAGCGAAGGCAGCUUACUGGGCUGUAACUGACGCUGAUGCACGAAAGUGUGGGGAUCAAACAGGAUUAGAUACCCUGGUAGUCCACACUGUAAACGUUGAUUACUCGCUGUUUGCGAUACACUGCAAGCGGCUUAGCGAAAGCGAUAAGUAAUCCACCUGGGGAGUACGCCGGCAACGGUG